Cucumis sativus (cucumber) is the source of this 1075-nucleotide long non-coding RNA. RefSeq lists it as uncharacterized. The record is from RefSeq and is a predicted model, not a curated record. The transcript has 2 exons. Lineage: Eukaryota; Viridiplantae; Streptophyta; Magnoliopsida; Cucurbitales; Cucurbitaceae.
UCUCAAUUAAUCAUUCUCUUCUCUUCUUUCUUUCAACAAAUAUCUCUUCUCUUUUCUUUUUUAAUCUUUCUUUUUUCUUUUUCUUUGAGAACUAAUUAUUUAAUUUAUUUUUUGCAUUUCUGUUUCCCAAAAAUGAAGUUUUUCUUUGGGGGGCAAAAGAAGGAACAUAUGUGAUAUGUUGUUGACAGAAGAUAGAGAGCACAGAUGAUGAUAUGCAAAAACUCAUCAUCAUUAUCAUUGUUAUCAAUACUAUUCUUUGUUUUUUAGGGUUUAGAAAUUUGGAGAGAGACAUUAUCAUUAUUAUGCAUUUCACUCCAUUUGUGCUCUCUAUGCUUCUGUCAUCACUCUCUUCACCCCUUCCUUUUAUAUAUAUCCCAUCCCUUCACUUUUAAUAAUCUACUCAUUUUUCUAAUCUCCUUUUCACCUCUAAUCACUUUUAAUUUCUUAAUCUCUUACAUAUAUAUAUAUAUGUGUAUCUAUGUAUAUAGAGGUGCAAUAACUAGUUGAGUUAAUUAUAUACAGCCCUAAGAAAUUAAAUGUGUUGAUUUUUCUAUGUUUUUAGGUGCUUUAUGCAGCAGUUCAAAUAGCUAGCUAGGGCAAGGGAUGAAAAGAACUAUUCAGAAAUAUGCAAGAUUUUAGGUCUUAGUCGUUGAGGUAUUCGUAAUUGAAUGCAGGAAAUGAAUAGAAUUAUGAUGAAGGGGUUGAAGAUAUCACAAUUAGGAAGAUGCCUAUAUGCCCAUGAGAUAUUAAAAGAGUAAAGUGAAUAUUCCUCAAAAGAGGGAAAUGAGGCUCACAAUUGCCACUUGUUUAUGAUUCAUUAUAUUUGUGGGUGAGAAAUGCCCAUUAUUAUAUUAUUCAUCUUCCCAACAUUAUAUAUAAAUAUAUAUAUUGUGUUUUUGUAAUACACCAAAAAGAUAAAAGAAAAAAUGGAGGCAAAUUAAAGGGAGGGGUUUGGAAUAAAUCCUCACCUAAAAAUGAAGCCAUUAUUGUUCAUACAUUCUCAUAGAUUAUUAUUCCAUUUGUACUAUUUUCAGUGUACAUUCCAUAAAUAAAUUAUCUUCUUCUGAUCUCUUCC